This is an RNA transcript of Brassica napus (rape), 3433 nucleotides long. It is a transcript of the gene named conserved oligomeric Golgi complex subunit 7, with no coding region annotated. NCBI's taxonomy places the organism in Eukaryota, Viridiplantae, Streptophyta, Magnoliopsida, Brassicales, Brassicaceae. The record is from RefSeq and is a predicted model, not a curated record. The transcript has 11 exons.
AGUUUUCGUGUAGAGUUCUACCGAUUGAAUUAGAAUCGGUUUAAAUUGAUUUGGUUCAGUUCCUCACUCGACUGAAGAUUUCAUAGGAUCUUCUUUCCAACAUAAUCGAAUUAAAGAACGUAGUCGAAUCUGGGUGAUCGGGUACAAUGCUGGAUCUGGGUCCGUUCUCAGACGAGAAGUUCGAUGCGAAGCGGUGGGUGAACUCGUCGUGCAAAGCGCGCCACCCUCAGGACUCGCUCGAGAGACACCUCGUGGAUCUGGAAAUGAAGCUCCAGAUCGCCUCCGAGGAGAUCGGAGCGUCUCUCGAAGAGCAGAGCGGAGGCGCCCUCCUCCGUGUCCCUCGCGCCACUCGCGACGUCUUGCGACUGCGUGAUGACGCGGUGUCUCUCCGUAGCUCAGUCGCCGGAAUCCUCCAGAAACUCAAGAAGGCGGAGGGAUCUUCCGCGGAGUGUAUAGCUACACUUGCUAGAGUGGACUGUGUCAAACAGAGAAUGGAGGCUGCCUACAAAACUUUGCAGGAUGCUGCUGGGUUGACUCAGUUAAGCUCGACGGUCGAGGAUGUUUUUGCUAGUGGAGAUCUUCCCCGUGCUGCGGAAACUCUUGCCAGCAUGAGAAAUUGCUUGUCUGCUGUUGGAGAGGUUGCAGAAUUUGCCAAUGUUAGAAAGCAACUAGAAGUGUUGGAGGAUAGGUUGGAGGCAAUGGUGCAGCCACGUCUUACUGAUGCAUUGACUUAUCACAAGGUUGAUGUUGCCCAAGACUUGCGAGGGAUUCUCAUCCGGAUUGGGAGAUUCAAGUCUCUGGAGUUGCAAUAUUCAAAAGUGCGUUUAAAGCCAAUAAAACAACUCUGGGAUGAUUUCGACACUAAGCAAAGAGCUAACAAGCUUGCCAGUGAGAGAAGUGAAACCCAAAGGUUGUCUAGUGGCGAUGAGGUUCAGUUGACAUCAUCAACUCAGACAUCCUUCGCUAGUUGGCUACCAACCUUUUACGACGAGUUGCUACUCUAUCUUGAGCAGGAGUGGAAAUGGUGUAUGGUUGCCUUCCCUGAUGAUUAUAUGACUCUCGUCCCAAAGCUGUUGGUUGAGACCAUGGGAGUACUUGGGGCUAGUUUUGCUUCUCGUCUCAACCUUGCAACAGGAGAUGCUGUUCCUGAAACUAAAACACUCGCCAAAGGUGUGAUGGAUCUAUUAUCCGGAGACUUACCCAAGGGUAUUAACAUACAGACCAAGCAUCUUGAGGCCCUUAUUGACUUGCACAACGUAACUGGGUCCUUUGCAAGAAAUGUUCAGCACCUGUUUGCCGAAUCGGAAGUUAGAGUCUUAAUAGAUACGCUAAAGGCCGUGUACUCACCCUUUGAAUCGUUUAAGCAAAAGUAUGGGAAAAUGGAACGUGCUAUUUUGUCCUCUGAGAUCGCAGUUGUAGAUCUGAGAGGGGCUGUUACACGUGGUGUUGGGGCUCAAGGAAUAGAACUCAGCGAGACAGUGCGUAGGAUGGAAGAGUCUAUCCCCCAAGUUGUUGUUCUUCUUGAAGCUGCGGUUGAGAGGUGUAUUGGCUUCACUGGCGGCUCAGAGGCAGACGAGCUGAUACUUGCACUAGAUGACAUAAUGCUGCAGUACAUCUCCAUGCUUCAGGAAACACUCAAAUCUUUGAGAGCUGUGUUUGGAGUAGAUGGCACAGGCGAUGGAGUUAGCUCAGAGAAAAGGGAGAGCUCUCGCAAGAUGGACCUGUCUUCAAAUGAAGAAUGGUCCAUUGUCCAGGGAGCUCUACAGAUACUUACUGUAUCGGAUUGUCUUACGAGCAGGUCUUCUGUAUUUGAAGCUUCCUUGAGAGCCACUCUAGCUAGACUGAACUCCAGCUUGUCUAUUUCAUUAUUUGGCACAAAUUUGGAUCAGAACCUAUCACAUUUGACAAGUGAACAAACAGCUGGAGAUUUGUCUAUGGCUGGACGAGCUUCCCUGGAGGUAGCAGCUAUUCGAUUGGUUGAUGUUCCGGAGAAGGCUCGCAAACUCCUAAACCUGUUGGAGCAGUCCAAAGAUCCAAGGUUCCAUGCACUGCCUUUGGCAUCUCAGAGAGUCGCCGCAUUUGCCGAUACAGUCAACGAGCUUGUGUAUGACAUCCUCAUAUCAAAAGUCAGGCAACGACUUGGGGAAGUAUCUCGCCUACCAAUUUGGUCUUCAUCUGAGGAACAGAGCGCUUUUCCGUUACCAAGCUUUAGCUCAUAUCCUCAGUCUUAUGUUACAAGCGUUGGAGAAUAUCUCCUCACUUUGCCUCAGCAGCUUGAGCCUCUAGCUGAAGGAAUCUCAACCUAUGGCGAUUCGAACAACGAGGACGCACAGUUCUUUGCAACCGAGUGGAUGUUCAAGGUAGCAGAAGGUGCGACGGCUCUGUAUGUGGAGCAGCUGAGAGGAAUCCAAUACAUUACAGACCGAGGAGCACAACAACUGUCUGUAGAUAUAGAGUACUUGAGCAAUGUGCUUUUGGCUUUGUCCAUGCCGAUUCCGCCUGUGCUGGCAACUUUCCAGACGUGUUUGGCUACACCAAGAGAUGAGCUCAAAGAUGUGAUGAAAUCAGAAGCUGGUAGUGAACUUGAUUUCCCUACGGCCAAUCUUGUCUGUAAGAUGCGUCGUAUCAGUUUCGAUUAGUCUCACAAUUGGAGGUCCAUCCAUACCCAUUAUGGUGGUGUCUACGAGACUAAGUUAACAAAUCGGUUCGGCCGUAUUGAAAGUUUUGAUGCUAUAUAAAAGGAUAAGUUUGGCAGUAGUAAAAAGGUUCAAAUUAAUGUUAUCAAGAUAUAAAUACUUUUUAAUGUAUGGAAUAUUUCUCUUAAUUACUUGUCAAAAAAAAAAAAAAAAAAAAUUACUUUAUUUAAAACUCAAUUCUUCUUUUUAUAUAUUUAAAACAAGUUAUUUUAUGGAAUAAAAUGCAAUGUCUAUCAUGAAACGUUCGUAAAUCUCCAACAGUGUGAUUUAAACGGUUUGUUUGUAAAUAAAAUCUCAUAUGUAUAUAAACAAAAUCUUGAAGUUUACGUUUAUCAAAAUUUCAAUAUAACUAAUUAAACAUUUAACUACCAGGCGUUUUGGCCGCGUUAAUUAUUUUGUGAAUAUUUAUUAAUAUGUGCAUUAUCAAUUUAAACACUACCAUGACAAAAAACAAACUGAGCAUCAUAUUUAUAUAAAAUAGAUACCUUUUUAUUGCGUAAAAUUAAAAAUUCUGAAAUAAAGUUAUAUUAUGGAAAAUCUCUAUUUAAUAUAUUUACUUUUUUUUAAUCAUUUUAUCAUCAUUCAUCAAGAUAUUCAAUCAUGUCCGCAACUUCACUCUGAUUACAUAAUUAUACAAUUAAUCAUGUGAAAACACAUACCUAAUAAAACAAUCCAACUUUCUGUAAUGUAAUUAACAGAAACAUUAAACUGUUGAAACCUUUACAAUGAUCUUCUUU